GAUGAAGAACGUAGCGAAAUGCGGUACUUGGUGUGAAUUGCAGAAUCCCGUGAACCAUCGAGUCUUUGAACGCAAGUUGCGCCCGAAGCCACUAGGCCGAGGGCACGCCUGCCUGGGCGUCACACGCCGUUGCCCCCCCAUCUACUCCUUCGGGAUUGCGGGGGGGCGGAUGAUGGCCUCCUGUGCGCCUAGCCGCGCGGUUGGCAUAAAUACCAAGUCCUCGGCGACGCACGCCACGACAAUCGGUGGUUGCGAAACCUCGGUUGCCCGUCGUGUGCGUUCGUCGCGCAUCGAGGGCUCGAAAAAAUGCUCGGCUCCGGCUGGGCUUUCAACGCGACCCCAGGUCAGGCGGGGUUACCCGCUGAAUUUAAGCAUAUCAAUAAGCGGAGGA
Molecule: unclassified non-coding RNA, 391 nt
Filed under: soil metagenome
Description: partial contains 5.8S ribosomal RNA, internal transcribed spacer 2, and large subunit ribosomal RNA
Rfam family: 5.8S ribosomal RNA (bases 1-122)
Source: RNAcentral